Molecule: ribosomal RNA, 496 nt
Filed under: uncultured bacterium
Lineage: Bacteria
Description: bacterial SSU rRNA
Rfam family: Bacterial small subunit ribosomal RNA
Source: RNAcentral
ACUCAAAGGAAUUGACGGGGACUCGCACAAGCGGUGGAGCAUGCGGUUUAAUUCGAUGCAACGCGAAGAACCUUACCAGGUCUUGACAUACUGUUGCUGGGGUUAGAGAUAAUCCGUUUCUUCGGAACAACAGAUACAGGUGGUGCAUGGUUGUCGUCAGCUCGUGUCGUGAGAUGUUGGGUUAAGUCCCGCAACGAGCGCAACCCUUAUCAUUAGUUGCUAACAGUAAGAUGAGCACUCUAAUGAGACCGCCGGCGCAAGCCGGAUGAAGGUGGGGAUGACGUCAAAUCAUCAUGCCCCUUAUGACCUGGGCUACACGCGUGCUACAAUGGCUAGUACAAAGAGUUGCGAAGCCGCGAGGUGGAGCUAAUCUCACAAAGCUAGUCUCAGUUCGGAUUGUAGUCUGCAACUCGACUACAUGAAGUUGGAAUCGCUAGUAAUCGUGAAUCAGCAUGUCACGGUGAAUACGUUCUCGAGUCUUGUACACACCGCCCGU